RNAcentral lists this long non-coding RNA (561 nucleotides) under Zostera marina. Its description in RNAcentral is "long non-coding RNA (ZMAR_LNC002831)". The record is from RNAcentral. Lineage: Eukaryota; Viridiplantae; Streptophyta; Magnoliopsida; Alismatales; Zosteraceae.
UUCAAGUGCUCCAGGUGGUGGCGCAUCGCGCAGAGGCACAUCCGGAACCUUGGGGCUAUAGUGCCUAGUGUAUUAAAAAAAAAUUAAAUUUCAGAUAUAAUCAUAUAAACCCUGUGAUAAUCCAAUAUUCCAUUAAUUAACUAUAAACCCUGUGAUAAUCAAUAAAAAGGAGUUAAUAGUCAAUAGUUAGGACAAUAUCUUCGGGCUCUUCCCAGAUAACAACUUCCGGCUCUUCCUGAUCAAUAUAUUUAUCGCUUGAUGAGAAAUCUUCUUUAGCAUUCUUUUCAUAAUCAGGAUUAGAUCCUAUUUCUGAUGAUAUGCUCCUAAAGAAAUUUAAAAACAAUCAAGACGAGAAAUCUAUAAAUAGAAGAGAUGAGAAGAAUUUGUUUAUAGAAUCUAGGAUUUAAAAAAAAAUCAAGAAUGGAUGAGGAAAAAAAUCAAGGAUGGAAUAAAAAAAAUCAUGAGAAGAUACCUGAAGAAUGGAGCUUGCUGGACGCUCGCCGGAAUCUUGCUCAAUUUUCGCCGAAGCAUCUGGAGGUGGCCGGAAGUUCUGAAAUUUAG